This 497-nucleotide ribosomal RNA is filed under the name uncultured bacterium. RNAcentral's name for it is "partial 16S ribosomal RNA". It matches the Rfam family "Bacterial small subunit ribosomal RNA", at positions 28 to 507 of the family's 1533-position model. The record is from RNAcentral.
GAUGAACGCUGGCGGCGUGCCUAAUACAUGCAAGUCGAGCGAACAGACGAGGAGCUUGCUCCUCUGGCGUUAGCGGCGGACGGGUGAGUAACACGUGGAUAACCUACCUAUAAGACUGGGAUAACUUCGGGAAACCGGAGCUAAUACCGGAUAAUAUAUUGAACCGCAUGGUUCAAUAGUGAAAGACGGUUUUGCUGUCACUUAUAGAUGGAUCCGCGCCGCAUUAGCUAGUUGGUAAGGUAACGGCUUACCAAGGCAACGAUGCGUAGCCGACCUGAGAGGGUGAUCGGCCACACUGGAACUGCGACACGGUCCAGACUCCUACGGGAGGCAGCAGUAGGGAAUCUUCCGCAAUGGGCGAAAGCCUGACGGAGCAACGCCGCGUGAGUGAUGAAGGUCUUCGGAUCGUAAAACUCUGUUAUUAGGGAAGAACAAAUGUGUAAGUAACUAUGCACGUCUUGACGGUACCUAAUCAGAAAGCCACGGCUAACUACGUG